This 556-nucleotide long non-coding RNA is filed under the name Vigna radiata. RNAcentral describes it as "long non-coding RNA (VRAD_LNC014384)". The record is from RNAcentral. Lineage: Eukaryota; Viridiplantae; Streptophyta; Magnoliopsida; Fabales; Fabaceae.
GAAAGAUCCUAGAAGUCAGUGCACUCUUUGUCUAACUUUUUGGCCAGUCCAAUUUUUUUCUUUCUUUCUCUCUGGUUUUCAAUUAUGUCAGGUCUCGUUUUGUUUUUCUCCCUUUUGCAUUUUUGCUCUUUUUCUAGACCUAUUCUUUCUUUUGCAUACAAUCAGCAACUCAUUUUUUUUUCUUUUUCUUUUUCACUUAUGGCCUAACUUUCCUAUUGCACUCACUAAGUUCCUAGAUCCUCCAUCCCUCUCACAUGUCUCUACAGGUUAGGUAUUUGGUGGGGAAAAUGGCUUGUAAUGAAUGGAAACAAAGAAAAUGGCUAAGGCUCAAAAGAAAGGUACAAUGAUAAGAAACUAAAAUGAUAAAGCUAAAUUGUUAUGGAUGGUAAUAAAGAAUGCCUAAAUCAUGUCUAAAGUCCACCAAGAGCAAGCUUAUCACAAAGAGUCAAUGCAAAAUCAGAAUCAAAAGCCAAACAAGCAUGAAAUCACACAAGAAAGACAAAAAUUGGGCCCAAAAUCUCUCUAGGUUAAGAAUUUUGCCAAAACUGACUGGCUA